UGAUAAUUGAGACUGAGCUAACAGAUGAGAAUCCUAGUCAUUGGCCAAGCAACUUUGAACCUAAUACAAGUUUCUAUGUAUUCAUUUGGGCCUAACUCGGGCGGGCGACAGGCGUAAAGCUCACACGUGGCGGUGGGUCUCAGGCAGCUUUUGGCAGAAAGAUUUAUCGUAACACCUUACCACACCAGACCAUUCCUCCAAGGCUCCUGAGUGCACAGUCUCCCACCUCUCAGGACAGCUUUUAUCAAGCAGUCCCACUGUCUCCUCUGAGUUAAGGAUGUAACCAACUUUCUGGAGUAGUCACACAGCAUCCUGGGAAGUAUAAUCCCCAGGAAAUAGAUUAGUGCCUAUUUUGAAUAUAUCCUAUAAAUCACUCCAGUUGAUCAAAAUAUUUCUCUAGAAACUUUUGAAGAAAAAAAAUGGAAGUUUGAGCUUAGCGUGGUGGUGCACACCUCUAAUUUGAGCCCUGGGGAGGCUGAAGCAGGAGGAUCGAGAGUUUGAGGCCAGCCUGGACUACCUAGUAAAACUCUGGAUCAAAUAAGCAAGACACCCAAAUUUGCUAUCAUAAAAAUACAAAACAGUGCUUCAAAAAACCCAUGUUAAUACAUGGCAAAACUAAGACACAUUCCAGCUAUUCAUUUAUCUAUGGGAUGUGUGCAUGGUGGAGCCCUCCAGGAAGGAGAUGGGGUCAGUGGCAAUAUUCACACCUCUGUGGAUCAGCAGAUUCUUUCUAUGGCAUCCCAGCAGCCACGGCACUGCCUUUUCAGGACACUGAAGCCAGAAGCCCCCCAUAUUUCCAUGCCUUCCCCCUCUGUCUGUCACCCUACAAAGUCACAGGUUAGCUUAUCCUCUGUCUGUCACCCUACAAGACCAUAAGUUAGCUCAAAGCCUGCAGACAAAUGUUGACCCAAUGCCUCUGAGCUGCUGAUACUGAAGUUCUAAGGACCAAGAAGCAUCCAUAUUAAGUCCACCUGGGCUUGGUGCUGGAGGAGGGGAGGGAACGCAGCCCACCUAAUGACACUGGUGUCCGAUGCUCUGAGGUGCACCUGCUCAGGUUAGCUCCCAGUAACUCCUCUAUUCUUGAUCAGUUCAGAUGCAUAUCCCUAGCUGAGAUACCCCAGAACACUGGGUGACUGUUGUGUUUGGAAUAAUUCUGUCCUCUGGGGGGUGGGAUGCCUUUUUCUUUGGCCACCAACAAGGAAUAAACACUGGGACAAAGACUUAAAUAAUCAUCAACAAGGACUUUUUAAACUGAAAAAAUACAUUAUCCCCAAAGGGGACAAAGACCAUCUGGUUCUUUAAGUUGAUGAGAACAUUGGAGCAGGCAGUUAAUGGCUUGUCUUCUCAGUAGUAAUUGUGAAUCAAGGAAUAGGUAAGAAAACGUAAGGGCCUUUUGUUCCCUGUAACCUAUAUGGGCUGCAUUCAGCCGCUCUCAGAAAAUAGUAAGAAAUGGUGCCUUGGAAAAUACAUCAGAUGACAGACAGAAACGUGCCUUUGUGUUUCCUCUGAGCUACUAACUGCUAGCAGCUUUCUCAGGUGGGGUGCCGAAGUGACAGUGAAAACAGAUGUGAAAUAGCGUGCCUGGUGAAGAGGCACAUGGAUGACCCGCUCUUCUGAGCUCACCCUCUCUGUUACAGUGGUUUUCUGGUGGUUUGUGUUUGGAAGCAAGGCCUCAUGCAGCCUAAAUGCACUAUGUAGCCGAGGACAACCCUGUCUCUGCCUCCCAAGAGCUAGUUCACGCAGGGCUGCAGAUGGAGCCCAGGGCUUCAUGUAUGCCAGGUCAGAUUCCAUGUGGAAGCUCAUUUGGCUGGACUCAGCUAUAUGUGUUUAUUCCAAAAGGUAGGGCAGAAGCCAAUGACCAAGUGAUUUCAGACCCAGAGGAAUGGAACUUAGGUGACUUCAAUUGUCACUCUGUGUAGCAAUACAAAGAUGUUUGUAGCCACUAGACUGUGUAGUGAACAGGGCUAGGUCUUGUCAUCCACAGGGUUAAGUAUUAAAGGUUUGGUAACCAGUCUAUAUGAGGUGGGACUGAG
This 2033-nucleotide long non-coding RNA is filed under the name Cricetulus griseus (Chinese hamster). RNAcentral describes it as "lncRNA (ENSCGRG00015038942.1)". The record is from RNAcentral. Lineage: Eukaryota; Metazoa; Chordata; Mammalia; Rodentia; Cricetidae.